GUGGGGAUCAGAAGAGGUCUUCAGAAACAGUGACCUUUGAGGGCGUGAUGAUGGUGCCCGCGCAGGGACAGAACCCAGAUCAAAGGGAGAAGAGGAGGUCGUGGAAGGGAGGCAGUGGGUAUCCUCUCUGCAUUUGAGAAGUUUGGCGGCAGACAGGCUGAAAGAGAUGAUCACAAACUUGGAGAGGGUUAGGAAGACAGGCCAAGGGGCUUACUCCCUCUUUUUUGGUGAGAAAUCAAAUGCUGCUGAGCAUCUUUUAGUCAGAGGGAAGGUGGUAGUGAACAGCAAAGGAUUGGAGAAACAAGUGGAAGAAGCAAAAGAAGGUAUAAUUUAUGGAGCAGGCCCUAGAGAGAGGAGAGUGAGACUAAGGGUGAGGGCAGGGGGGCAGCCUGGAAAAGGAGAAGAGGCAUCUGUCUCAGCCUGGGGAAGGUGAAGAGAGCAGCAGAGGUGCAUGGUUUGGGUUGGAAAGCAAAGAAAUUAAUAACAAGGUUGCUGUAGUAGAGUGGGUACUGAAGUUACCUGCAGAGACAGAUUGGAAAGUGGCUUUAGAUUUCAAGGAAGGCCAAAAAGAGCAGAAGAGAAGUAUGAUUAGGAUCUUCCAGCCUCUGUAGGGAAAAAGGAGUUUGUGGAAUCUAUGUAGCUUCAUGCGGGAAGAAUCAGGACCUGUGGGCACAAUCUUUGAGGAAGUAGGCCCCAGUGUAACACAGAGAUCUGAGCUGACCAACAAUGACAGGAAUCACUGGCUGUAUUUUGGACAGAGGCUGCAGGUCCAUUUAUCAGGGAUGCUGCCCGUGGGCUCUUGCGCUGGGGCACAGGGAUGAGAUCCAUGUUCCCUCCUGGCUCUGAGACUCGAUGACCACAAAGAGAUGGCUGCAGAGCCUCCUAUUGCCAUGGCUGCCAUUGCUCUUGGGGAAUGAUCGGCUGAACACAGCUGCACCCCAUCUCCAGGAGGGUUCCCGAGGACCUGAGGCUGACAUCCAAAGGGUAGGCAAUGCCCAUGGAGGUGACUGAGUUUUGAGGACCUGGAAUGAGGUGCUGCUCAGGAGACAGCCGAAAAGGGAAGGAUAUUGUGAUCUGCCAUCAGGAGUACCAGCCUUUGACCAACCUUGAGAGCAGCAACAUAAAGGGUGACCAGCUCUUCUGAAUUGUCUGUGACUGAGGGGCUCCAAUGACAUAGGAUUUUCCAUGCUAAAGCUAAGAAGAUCCUUAUAAAUCAGGACAAAUCA
This 1226-nucleotide long non-coding RNA is filed under the name Heterocephalus glaber (naked mole-rat). RNAcentral's name for it is "lncRNA (ENSHGLG00000044231.1)". The record is from RNAcentral. Lineage: Eukaryota; Metazoa; Chordata; Mammalia; Rodentia; Bathyergidae.